CCAGGGGCUGACGCCCCUGGCUACAUUCGGUCGGCCUUUCAGGCCU
Molecule: small RNA, 46 nt
Filed under: Bremerella volcania
Lineage: Bacteria; Pseudomonadati; Planctomycetota; Planctomycetia; Pirellulales; Pirellulaceae
Description: Acido-Lenti-1
Rfam family: Acido-Lenti-1 RNA
Source: RNAcentral